AUUGAACGCUGGCGGCAGGCUUAACACAUGCAAGUCGAACGCAUCCUUCGGGGUGAGUGGCAGACGGGUGAGUAACGCGUGGGAACGUGCCCUUCAGUUCGGGAUAACACAGGGAAACUUGGGCUAAUACCGGAUACGUGCGAGAGCAGAAAGAUUUAUCGCUGAAGGAUCGGCCCGCGUCGGAUUAGCUAGUUGGUGGGGUAAUGGCCCACCAAGGCGACGAUCAGUAGCUGGUCUGAGAGGAUGAUCAGCCACAGGGGGACUGAGACGCGGCCCAAACUCCUCCGGGAGGCAGCAGGGGUGAAUAGUGGACAAGGGGCGCAAGCUUGUUCCAGCCAUGCCGCGUGAGUGAGGAAGGCCUUAGGGGGGUAAAGCUCGUGCGGCCGGGACGAGAAGGACGGUACCGGAAGAAGAAGCCCCGGCGAACUUCGUGCCAGCCGCCGCCGUAA
RNAcentral lists this ribosomal RNA (449 nucleotides) under uncultured bacterium. RNAcentral's name for it is "partial 16S ribosomal RNA". It matches the Rfam family "Bacterial small subunit ribosomal RNA", at positions 29 to 523 of the family's 1533-position model. The record is from RNAcentral.